Molecule: long non-coding RNA, 448 nt
Organism: Impatiens glandulifera
Lineage: Eukaryota; Viridiplantae; Streptophyta; Magnoliopsida; Ericales; Balsaminaceae
Exons: 2
Source: RefSeq, a predicted model, not a curated record
AGGCCCAAAAUUUGUGUUCCUAGUUCUCCUCCUAUUAAAGGCAAUCGACCUAGAACUAGGGUUUCUUCAAUAUCAAUUCUCAUCCGCCUCUCUAAUCGAAAUCGAAACUUCAAAGAAGAAUAUACAAGUUUGAUCUCUCUGAAACAUCAUCAUGAGGGCUAAGUGGAAGAAGAAGCGUAUGAGGAGAUUGAAGAGGAAGCGCCGAAAGAUGAGACAACGAUCCAAGUAGUUCUCUUCCAUCAUCGGCUUCAACUACCCAUCUUAGCGUUUAUUUCUUUUCAUCUAUCCUUUCGCUCUCGCUCUCGCCUUCUCUGUCAGUAAUAGAUAGAUUAUUGCGUUUAUUACUUGAGCAAGACUUUUGAUUUCUUUCUUGUUUUGAAACAAUAUCUAUUUAUGUCAGACCAGUUUAUUUUGCUGUUAAUCAAAUCUCUGUUUUAUUGAGACAUAA